UUUCUUUCUCUUUGCAGGCUUCAUUUUCUUGGGCUUCCCUACCUGGCCAGACUCACGAUCCAGAAGGACAGUCUCAGUUCAGCCAGUUCCUGCCAAGGAAUCCUGGGGAAGGCUGGUGACUGAUCCAGCUGUCAUAUGAUUGCUCUGUGUGGUGACAUGGACUCAUCCCAGGACAAGCAGGUGGUGGAAUGUGGAAGGACUGUGAGAAUAUCCUUGAACUCCACUUGGCACUUCCACGGAUUGGCCGAUGAGGCAGAUGAAUGAGGAAGCAGACUCGUCAGAGCAAGAACACAGUCUGGAAGCAUGGUCCUGAUGCUGGAAUAGAGAGGAUUUCUGAUAACCUGGAAUAUUUGCAAGAGCUCAGCAACACUCCAAGAAUUGAUUCUUACUUUCCACUUAAAAAAAAAAAAAGCAAUUUCCAUACUCCUGGGCAUAUGUGAUGUUUUUCCUGGUGGUUGGUGAGUACGGAUAGUUU
This 475-nucleotide long non-coding RNA is filed under the name Vulpes vulpes (red fox). Its description in RNAcentral is "lncRNA (ENSVVUG00000012835.1)". The record is from RNAcentral. Lineage: Eukaryota; Metazoa; Chordata; Mammalia; Carnivora; Canidae.